UUACGGCCACAUUAGGUUGAAACACCUGUUUCCAUACGAUCCACCGAAGUUAAGCAACGUCGGGCCUGGUCAGUAUCUAGAUGGGUGACCUCUUGGGAAUACAAGGUGCUGUAAG
Non-coding RNA from Acanthosepion pharaonis, 115 nucleotides. NCBI's taxonomy places the organism in Eukaryota, Metazoa, Mollusca, Cephalopoda, Sepiida, Sepiidae. The record is from the annotation of a GenBank genome assembly.